GACUGAUGCAAAACUUCCUGACUUCCAAGCCGGUGCAGAAAGAGCUUAUACCGCGGUCGCCGCUGCUAUGGCUGGAGGAAAUAUUGUCUACGAGGCAG
RNAcentral lists this non-coding RNA (98 nucleotides) under marine eukaryotic metagenome. Its description in RNAcentral is "Pyrrolysine insertion sequence mttB". It matches the Rfam family "Pyrrolysine insertion sequence mttB". The record is from RNAcentral.